GAUGAACGCUGGCGGCGUGCCUAAUACAUGCCAGUCGAGCGAACAGACGAGGAGCUUGCUCCUCUGACGUUAGCGGCGGACGGGUGAGUAACACGUGGAUAACCUACCUAUAAGACUGGGAUAACUUCGGGAAACCGGAGCUAAUACCGGAUAAUAUAUUGAACCGCAUGGUUCAAUAGUGAAAGACGGUUUUGCUGUCACUUAUAGAUGGAUCCGCGCCGCAUUAGCUAGUUGGUAAGGUAACGGCUUACCAAGGCGACGAUGCGUAGCCGACCUGCGAGGGUGAUCGGCCACACUGGAACUGAGACACGGUCCAGACUCCUACGGGAGGCAGCAGUAGGGAAUCUUCCGCAAUGGGCGAAAGCCUGACGGAGCAACGCCGCGUGAGUGAUGAAGGUCUUCGGAUCGUAAAACUCUGUUAUUAGGGAAGAACAAAUGUGUAAGUAACUAUGCACGUCUUGACGGUACCUAAUCAGAAAGCCACGGCUAACUACGUG
This 497-nucleotide ribosomal RNA is filed under the name uncultured bacterium. Its description in RNAcentral is "partial 16S ribosomal RNA". It matches the Rfam family "Bacterial small subunit ribosomal RNA", at positions 28 to 507 of the family's 1533-position model. The record is from RNAcentral.